GACGAACGCUGGCGGCGCGCCUAACACAUGCAAGUCGAACGAGUGAGAGAGAGCUUGCUUUCUCGAUCGAGUGGCGAACGGGUGAGUAACGCGUGAGGAACCUGCCUCAAAGAGGGGGACAACAGUUGGAAACGACUGCUAAUACCGCAUAAGCCCACGGCUCGGCAUCGAGCAGGGGGAAAAGGAGCAAUCCGCUUUGAGAUGGCCUCGCGUCCGAUUAGCUAGUUGGUGGGGUAACGGCCCACCAAGGCGACGAUCGGUAGCCGGACUGAGAGGUUGAACGGCCACAUUGGGACUGAGACACGGCCCAGACUCCUACGGGAGGCAGCAGUGGGGAAUAUUGCACAAUGGGGGAAACCCUGAUGCAGCGACGCCGCGUGGAGGAAGAAGGUCUUCGGAUUGUAAACUCCUGUUGUUGGGGAAGAUAAUGACGGUACCCAACAAGGAAGUGACGGCUAACUACGUG
This 466-nucleotide ribosomal RNA is filed under the name uncultured bacterium. RNAcentral describes it as "partial 16S ribosomal RNA". It matches the Rfam family "Bacterial small subunit ribosomal RNA", at positions 28 to 507 of the family's 1533-position model. The record is from RNAcentral.